RNAcentral lists this ribosomal RNA (433 nucleotides) under uncultured bacterium. RNAcentral describes it as "partial 16S ribosomal RNA". It matches the Rfam family "Bacterial small subunit ribosomal RNA", at positions 29 to 507 of the family's 1533-position model. The record is from RNAcentral.
AACGAACGCUGGCGGCAUGCCUAACACAUGCAAGUCGAACGAGACCUUCGGGUCUAGUGGCGCACGGGUGCGUAACGCGUGGGAACCUGCCCUUAGGUUCGGAAUAACUCCCCGAAAGGGGUGCUAAUACCGGAUAAUGUCUUCGGACCAAAGAUUUAUCGCCUUUGGAUGGGCCCGCGUUGGAUUAGCUAGUUGGUAGGGUAAAAGCCUACCAAGGCGACGAUCCAUAGCUGGUCUGAGAGGAUGAUCAGCCACACUGGGACUGAGACACGGCCCAGACUCCUACGGGAGGCAGCAGUGGGGAAUAUUGGACAAUGGGCGAAAGCCUGAUCCAGCAAUGCCGCGUGAGUGAUGAAGGCCUUAGGGUUGUACAGCUCUUUUACCCGGGAUGAUAAUGACAGUACCGGGAGAAUAAGCGCCGGCUAACUCCGUG